Long non-coding RNA from Branchiostoma floridae (Florida lancelet), 1498 nucleotides. RefSeq lists it as uncharacterized. The record is from RefSeq and is a predicted model, not a curated record. The transcript is spliced from 3 exons. Lineage: Eukaryota; Metazoa; Chordata; Leptocardii; Amphioxiformes; Branchiostomatidae.
CGGACUGCCGUUCAUCACCACCGUUCGUGCCGAACACCAUCAGAAGUGGCUGUGCCGCUCCCUACAAACAUCUGGAGACUUGUCGCUACCAGUGCCGGCGUGGGUACAGUCGUGUUACCGGCAGCACCUACAAACGUUGCCAAAAUGGUGGCUGGAGUGGGUCCGACCUGAUUUGUAGAUACACAGCGACGUUGCCCUGCUCUGCACCACCAAUCCGGACCUGGAGCUUCAGGUACGGGUGUUACCCGCCUUACACACACGGGGAGAGAUGCAGCUUCGCCUGCCGAAAUGGCUCCCCACAGUCCGGCAGCUCAACUAGGACCUGCAACAACGGGGUCUGGUCUGGGACACCUCUCACCUGUGUCAGGCCAAACCAAUAGAUGGUAGGAGCCUAGACAUCAUCAGAGUGUCCACAACUUUGUAAGCGUACCGCUGAGAAGAUGAAAACAGUAAAGACCAACAGCUCUGCUCAUCCCUAAAUAAAUCUAAAAGCAUCUAGAUGCCUUAGUUUGACUAUGUUUAAAAUCUUCUAGAUCUUACAUAAUAUAAGUCAAGGAAAUGCCAUUUUGUUGACAGAGGCGUGCUGCAUUCGGGUGGUGUAAUUACCUUCGCUAUGUUUUUGGUAGCGUUUGUACGUGUUAGCUAUUGUGUGUGGCGGCGAACGGCGGUUAUUCCGGCUAUGAAAAUUUUAGAUACAGAUGUGAGUUUGUGUGAGUGUGUGUGUGUAAGUGAAUGAGUGAGUGCAUGUGUAUGUGUGUGUUUGUGUUUGUGUGUGUGUGUGUGCAAAUAGAAUGCAUAACUCUCGACUGCCUCGGUGAAUUGUCUUGAUAUAUGGUAUGCUGGUAGGUGUUUAUGAGGCCUUGAAAACGGUUAAAUUUUGGAUUCCCUGCUAUUCUUACGUUGAUACCGAGGAGGCUUACAGAGAUGACGUCGACUAGGACUUCAUUUAUUGCCCCACUGCUGCUGGAUGAAUCUGAAAGCACCACUCUUUGUCACUCCAAUAAUCUGUAAUAGGUCAUUAGUGCGUGUGGGAACUGUUUUUUAAAGAUUUGCGAUAGCAGAACCCUUACUGUUUUUGCUGGCAUGUAUGGGCUUGGCCAUUUUGAUUUGCGGUGUAUGACGGGAAGGGUGGCACUAUUUUGGAUUUGACGGAUCAGUGUGUUGUAUGAAGUGAUGUGAUAUAAUGGCUAGAAAAUGUUAUCUUGUGGUCUUGUCAGAAACGGCAGGACUGUAAGAGACACAAGCAAGGGUUAGUGUGUUGAAUGAAGGGAUUGGAUAGGAAUGCUAGGAAAUGUCAUCUUGUGGUCUUGUUUUCAAUCUAAUUUUGGGAUGAGAGUACUGUACACAGACGUUUUUGGCAAUUUUAGAACAGCCACAUUCAAUGUCCGAAUGUUUAUACGAUAUCAUAUGAUAACAUCUUGUCAGACGAUUACAUUGUAUUUAGGUUAUGAAAGUACACGCGAUCUAUUAAAAAUGAUAAUGAUAAGCUGUUUGUAUA